UAUAUCCAAAGAAUACGUCAAUAUAGUUACGUCAACGUUAAACGGAUUUUCUUUCUUUCUUUCUUUCUUUCUUUAUUUAUUUAUUUAUUUAUUUACUUACUCAAGAAAACUUUUAGAAAUAUUUAUUAUAACGUUAAUAAUGAAAGAAAAUAUUCAGUGUUGUUAUUGAUAUCAUUUGAUCGAAUAAUUUAAUUGUAAUUUUUGUUUAUCUUGCUGUUGUUAUUUGUUGGUUUUCCUUUAAAAUGCAAAAGCGACAAUUUAAAGAAUUUUAAAGAAUUUAAAAAUCAUUACAAAUUCGUGCCCAGGAUCAUCUGGGAUAAUUCACAUUUAUUAUUCAUUUUAGAACGAGGUAAAAGCAAAUUUUCCUUUUUACCAUUUUUGUCGUGCUUCACUUUCAAGCAUAUCCUAUCUUCCGAGCUUCCGAAUCUUAUUCUCUCAGGAUUGCUAGGAUCUUAACUCGCCAAUCUGGUCCAGAGCUCGUCCACAAGUUUCCUACCAGUCGAACAGCUCUCUCGGGACAGAUCGUUGCCACCUCAUUCAACAACCAAUGCCCAAAGAUGUUCCGUAUUUACAUACGACGUAAGACCAUAAGAAUAAUACCGACUGAUAUUAUUGACGAAGAAAGAGAGAGACAUCUUCGAUUAUUAUGGAACUAGGUGAGACUCCGUUAGACGUUUGAAAUAUGGUCAAUCGGGGAAAAAGAGAUAUGAUGAAGAAGAAAAAAGAGAAGAGAGAGAGAGAGAGAGAGAGAGAG
Vespa velutina is the source of this 754-nucleotide long non-coding RNA. RefSeq lists it as uncharacterized. The record is from RefSeq and is a predicted model, not a curated record. The transcript is spliced from 3 exons. NCBI's taxonomy places the organism in Eukaryota, Metazoa, Arthropoda, Insecta, Hymenoptera, Vespidae.